RNAcentral lists this non-coding RNA (30 nucleotides) under Homo sapiens (human). The record is from RNAcentral. Lineage: Eukaryota; Metazoa; Chordata; Mammalia; Primates; Hominidae.
UGGGCAGUAGGCAAUAGAUAGCAUCAGGGU